This 511-nucleotide ribosomal RNA is filed under the name uncultured bacterium. RNAcentral describes it as "partial 16S ribosomal RNA". It matches the Rfam family "Bacterial small subunit ribosomal RNA", at positions 28 to 523 of the family's 1533-position model. The record is from RNAcentral.
GAUGAACGCUGGCGGCAUGCCUAAUACAUGCAAGUCGAACGAGAGGAAGGAAAGCUUGCUUUUCUGAAUCUAGUGGCGAACGGGUGAGUAACACGUAGGUAACCUGCCCAUGUGCCCGGGAUAACUUCUGGAAACGGAUGCUAAACCGGAUAGGUAGCAGACAAGCAUUUGACUGCUAUUAAAGUGGCUAAGGCCAUGAACAUGGAUGGAGCUGCGGUGCAUUAGCUAGUUGGUGAGGUAACGGCCCACCAAGGCGACGAUGCAUAGCCGGCCUGAGAGGGCGGACGGCCACAUUGGGACUGAGACACGGCCCAAACUCCUACGGGAGGCAGCAGUAGGGAAUUUUCGUCAAUGGGGGGAACCCUGAACGAGCAAUGCCGCGUGAGUGAGGAAGGUCUUCGGAUCGUAAAGCUCUGUUGUAAGAGAAAAACGACAUUCAUAGGGAAUGAUGAGUGAGUGAUGGUAUCUUACCAGAAAGUCACGGCUAACUACGUGCCAGCAGCCGCAGUAA